RNAcentral lists this ribosomal RNA (467 nucleotides) under uncultured bacterium. RNAcentral describes it as "partial 16S ribosomal RNA". It matches the Rfam family "Bacterial small subunit ribosomal RNA", at positions 29 to 507 of the family's 1533-position model. The record is from RNAcentral.
ACGAACGCUGGCGGCGUGCUUAACACAUGCAAGUCGAACGGAAAGGCCCUGCUUUUGUGGGGUGCUCGCGUGGCGAACGGGUGAGUAACACGUGAGUAACCUGCCCUUGACUUUGGGAUAACUUCAGGAAACUGGGGCUAAUACCGGAUAGGAGCUCCUGCUGCAUGGUGGGGGUUGGAAAGUUUCGGCGGUUGGGGAUGGACUCGCGGCUUAUCAGCUUGUUGGUGGGGUAGUGGCUUACCAAGGCUUUGACGGGUAGCCGGCCUGAGAGGGUGACCGGCCACAUUGGGACUGAGAUACGGCCCGGACUCCUACGGGAGGCAGCAGUGGGGAAUAUUGCACAAUGGGCGGAAGCCUGAUGCAGCAACGCCGCGUGCGGGAUGACGGCCUUCGGGUUGUAAACCGCUUUCGCCUGUGACGAAGCGUGAGUGACGGUAAUGGGUAAAGAAGCACCGGCUAACUACGUG